CGGACGGGUGAGUAAUGCCUAGGAAUCUGCCUGGUAGUGGGGGACAACGUUUCGAAAGGAACGCUAAUACCGCAUACGUCCUACGGGAGAAAGCAGGGGACCUUCGGGCCUUGCGCUAUCAGAUGAGCCUAGGUCGGAUUAGCUAGUUGGUGAGGUAAUGGCUCACCAAGGCGACGAUCCGUAGCUGGUCUGAGAGGAUGAUCAGCCACACUGGAACUGAGACACGGUCCAGACUCCUACGGGAGGCAGCAGAG
Molecule: ribosomal RNA, 254 nt
Filed under: uncultured Pseudomonas sp.
Lineage: Bacteria; Pseudomonadati; Pseudomonadota; Gammaproteobacteria; Pseudomonadales; Pseudomonadaceae
Description: partial 16S ribosomal RNA
Rfam family: Bacterial small subunit ribosomal RNA
Source: RNAcentral